This 1079-nucleotide long non-coding RNA is filed under the name Numida meleagris (helmeted guineafowl). RNAcentral's name for it is "lncRNA (ENSNMEG00000002362.1)". Lineage: Eukaryota; Metazoa; Chordata; Aves; Galliformes; Numididae. The record is from RNAcentral.
ACACUGUGACAUGGGGACACUGUGACAUGGGGACACUGUGACAUGGGGACACCAUGGGAUGGGGACACUGGGGGAUGGGGACACCGUGGGAUGGGGACACUGUGACAUGGGGACACUGGGGGAUGGGGACACUGGGGGAUGGGGACACUGUGACAUGGGGACACUGUGACAUGGGGACACCGUGGGAUGGGGACACUGUGACAUGGGGACACCAGGGGAUGGGGACGCUGUGACAUGGGGACACUGUGACAUGGGGACACCACGGGAUGGGGACACUGUGACACAGGGACACCGCAGGAUGGGGACACUGACAUGGGGACGCUGUGACAUGGGGACACUGGGGGAUGGGGACACUAUGACAUGGGGACACUGUGACAUGGGGACACCGCGGGAUGGGGACGCUGUGACAUGGGGACACCAGGGGAUGGGGACGCUGUGACAUGGGGACACUGUGACAUGGGGACACCAGGGGAUGGGGACAGUGUGACAUGGGGACAGUGUGACAUGGGGACAUGGGGACACUAUGACAUGGGGACACCAGGGGUUGGGGACACUAUGACAUGGGGACACUGUGACAUGGGGACACUGCAGCCACUGUCACCGUCACAGCACGGGGCGCCCUGUCCCCAAUGUGUCCCCAAGGCUCCCUGUCACCUGGGGGUCCUUCGUCACCCAGGUGUCCCCUGUCACCCAGGUGUCCCCUGUCACCCAAGUCUCCUUUGUCACCUGGAUGUCCUUUGUCACCCAGAUGUCCUUUGUCACCCAGGUGUCCCCAUCACUCAGGUGUCCUUUGUCCCUUAGGUGUCCCCCAUCACCCAGACGAGCCCUUGUCACCCAGAUGUCCCCAUCACUCAGGUGUCCUUUGUCACCCAGGUGUCCCCUGCCACCCAGAUGUCCCCAUCACUCAGGUGUCCUUUGUCACCCAAGUGUCCUUUGUCACCAGGAUCUCCACGUCACCCAAGUGUCCUUUGUCACCAGGAUCUCCACGUCACCCAAGUGUCCUUUGUCACCCAGGUGUCCCCUGUCACCCAGGUGACGUCCUCGGUCACCCAGAUGCCCUUUGCCACUUGGGUGUCCUU